GAGUUUGAACCUGGCUCAGGAUGAACGCUGGCGGCGUGCCUAACACAUGCAAGUCGAACGGAUCCAUAUUGAAACCUAGUGAUGUAUGGAUUAGUGGCGGACGGGUGAGUAACGCGUGGAUAACCUGCCGUAUACAGGGGGAUAACACUUAGAAAUAGGUGCUAAUACCGCAUAAGCGCACGGUUCCGCAUGGAACAGUGUGAAAAACUCCGGUGGUAUACGAUGGAUCCGCGUCUGAUUAGCCAGUUGGCGGGGUAACGGCCCACCAAAGCGACGAUCAGUAGCCGGCCUGAGAGGGUGAACGGCCACAUUGGGACUGAGACACGGCCCAAACUCCUACGGGAGGCAGCAGUGGGGAAUAUUGCACAAUGGGGGAAACCCUGAUGCAGCGACGCCGCGUGAGUGAAGAAGUAUCUCGGUACGUAAAGCUCUAUCAGCAGGGAAGAAAAAAAGUCCUUUGGACUUUGGACG
Molecule: ribosomal RNA, 471 nt
Filed under: uncultured bacterium
Lineage: Bacteria
Description: bacterial SSU rRNA
Rfam family: Bacterial small subunit ribosomal RNA
Source: RNAcentral